CAAAUUCCCUCGGCAACGGAUAUCUCGGCUCACGCAUCGAUGAAGAACGUAGCAAAAUGCGAUACUUGGUGUGAAUUGCAGAAUCCCGUGAACCAUCGAGUUUUUGAACGCAAGUUGCGCCCGAAGCCUUUUGGCUGAGGGCACGUCUGCCUGGGCGUCACAC
RNAcentral lists this ribosomal RNA (163 nucleotides) under Petasites fominii. Its description in RNAcentral is "5.8S ribosomal RNA". It matches the Rfam family "5.8S ribosomal RNA". From Rfam's summary of the family: 5.8S ribosomal RNA (5.8S rRNA) is a component of the large subunit of the eukaryotic ribosome. Lineage: Eukaryota; Viridiplantae; Streptophyta; Magnoliopsida; Asterales; Asteraceae. The record is from RNAcentral.